CACCAAAUAAAAGUCGCAUAAAACAAAUUCUUAGUCACAAGAACAAUACUAGAAAUCUUGAAACACCCUUGUCCUAACCGAUCUUGGCCUUGAAAUACUGACUGAGAUUUAUCACUUCUUUUUCUCAGACACUCCAGCGGACCUCAUCUUUCUGAGAACAUUGGCCAUUUCCUCUCUCUUCUUCUUCGCCCUUUUGUGUGUACCCAAUUUUCUCUUUGCCACUUUCAGAGCACGUUUGUCCUUUCCAACCUUCAAAAGCUCAGUUAUCCUCUUCUCGUAAGGAGCAAACCCAGCAACCUCCCUGAUGAGGUUCUUCACAAAAUGUACUCGUUUGCUAGUUUUCCCUUUCCGGCUUGAAGGGCGAGGAGCCAGCUCCCUCUUGGUGACGACGUGCCCCUUGUUUAUCCCCACAAAGAUACCACUUUUCGGCUGCGGCGGCGCCAUCGCUGCCCUGAUUGACUUUGUUUCAGACUCG
Molecule: unclassified non-coding RNA, 475 nt
Filed under: Hevea brasiliensis (rubber tree)
Lineage: Eukaryota; Viridiplantae; Streptophyta; Magnoliopsida; Malpighiales; Euphorbiaceae
Source: RNAcentral